UGGGGAAGUAUUGGACAAUGGGCGAAAGCCUGAUCCAGCAAUGCCGCGUGUGUGAAGAAGGUCUUCGGAUUGUAAAGCACUUUCGACGGGGACGGAUGAUGACGGUACCCGUAGAAGAAGCCCCGGCUAACUUCGUGCCAG
This 141-nucleotide ribosomal RNA is filed under the name uncultured bacterium. RNAcentral describes it as "partial 16S rRNA". It matches the Rfam family "Bacterial small subunit ribosomal RNA", at positions 355 to 511 of the family's 1533-position model. The record is from RNAcentral.